This 949-nucleotide ribosomal RNA is filed under the name uncultured Bacteroidota bacterium. RNAcentral's name for it is "bacterial SSU rRNA". It matches the Rfam family "Bacterial small subunit ribosomal RNA", at positions 1 to 862 of the family's 1533-position model. Lineage: Bacteria; Pseudomonadati; Bacteroidota. The record is from RNAcentral.
GAAAUACUCAAGCUAUGCAUCCAACCGCGUUUGGGAGCUUUCCCAUAUGGUCGACCUGCAGGCGGCCGCGAAUUCACUAGUGAUUAGAGUUUGAUCAUGGCUCAGGAUGAACGCUAGCGGCAGGCCUAACACAUGCAAGUCGAGGGGUAACAGGGAUUGCUUGCAAUCCGCUGACGACCGGCGCACGGGUGCGUAACGCGUAUGCAACCUACCUUUUACAGGGGUAUAGUCAAGAGAAAUUUUGAAUAACACCCCAUACGAUCAUCCUUACACCUGUAAAGAUGAAGAAAACUCCGGUGGUAAAAGAUGGGCAUGCGUCCUAUUAGUUAGUUGGUGAGGUAACGGCUCACCAAGACUGCGAUAGGUAGGGGUCCUGAGAGGGAGAUCCCCCACACUGGUACUGAGACACGGACCAGACUCCUACGGGAGGCAGCAGUGAGGAAUAUUGGACAAUGGAGGCAACUCUGAUCCAGCCAUGCCGCGUGCAGGAAGACUGCCCUAUGGGUUGUAAACUGCUUUUAUACAGGAAGAAACCUUGGUACGUGUACUAAGCUGACGGUACUGUAAGAAUAAGGAUCGGCUAACUCCGUGCCAGCAGCCGCGGUAAUACGGAGGAUCCAAGCGUUAUCCGGAAUCAUUGGGUUUAAAGGGUCCGCAGGCGGUUUUUUAAGUCAGAGGUGAAAUCCUAUCGCUCAACGAUAGAACUGCCUUUGAUACUGAAAGACUUGAGUUAUUGUGAAGUGGUUAGAAUAUGUAGUGUAGCGGUGAAAUGCAUAGAUAUUACAUAGAAUACCGAUUGCGAAGGCAGAUCACUAACAAUACACUGACGCUGAGGGACGAAAGCGUGGGUAGCGAACAGGAUUAGAUACCCUGGUAGUCCACGCCGUAAACGAUGGAUACUAGCUGUUUGACCAACAUUGGUUGGUUGAGUGGCUAAGCGAAAGUGAUA